Molecule: transfer RNA, 73 nt
Filed under: Chitinophagaceae bacterium
Lineage: Bacteria; Pseudomonadati; Bacteroidota; Chitinophagia; Chitinophagales; Chitinophagaceae
Also listed under: 2 other names
Description: tRNA-Trp
Rfam family: tRNA
About the family: Transfer RNA (tRNA) molecules are approximately 80 nucleotides in length. Their secondary structure includes four short double-helical elements and three loops (D, anti-codon, and T loops). Further hydrogen bonds mediate the characteristic L-shaped molecular structure. tRNAs have two regions of fundamental functional importance: the anti-codon, which is responsible for specific mRNA codon recognition, and the 3' end, to which the tRNAs corresponding amino acid is attached (by aminoacyl-tRNA synthetases). tRNAs cope with the degeneracy of the genetic code in two manners: having more than one tRNA (with a specific anti-codon) for a particular amino acid; and 'wobble' base-pairing, i.e. permitting non-standard base-pairing at the 3rd anti-codon position.
Source: RNAcentral
ACGGGUGUAGCUCAAUUGGUAGAGUACCGGUCUCCAAAACCGAUGGUUGGGGGUUCGAGUCCCUCCUCCCGUG